GACGAACGCUGGCGGCGUGCUUAACACAUGCCAGUCGAACGGAAAGGCCCUGCUUUUGUGGGGUGCUCGAGUGGCGAACGGGGGAGUAACCCGUGAGUAACCUGCCCUUGACUUUUGGAUAACUUCAGGAAACUGGGGCUAAUACCGGGUAGGAGCUCCUGCUGCAUGGUGGGGGUUGGAAAGUUUCGGCGGUUGGGGAUGGACUCGCGGCUUAUCAGCUUGUUGGUGGGGUAGUGGCUUACCAAGGCUUUGACGGGUCGCCGGCCUGAGAGGGUGACCGGCCACAUUGGGACUGAGAUACGGCCCAGACUCCUACGGGAGGCAGCAGUGGGGAAUAUUGCACAAUGGGCGGAAGUCUGAUGCAGCAACGCCGCGUGCGGGAUGACGGCCUUCGGGUUGUAAACCGCUUUCGCCUGUGACGAAGCGUGAGUGACGGUAAUGGGUAAAGAAGCACCGGCUAACUACGUG
Molecule: ribosomal RNA, 468 nt
Filed under: uncultured bacterium
Lineage: Bacteria
Description: partial 16S ribosomal RNA
Rfam family: Bacterial small subunit ribosomal RNA
Source: RNAcentral